CAGGGGGCUGACCUCUGUCUGUUAAAUGUGUAACUGUGUCUACACAUCAGGGGGCUGACCUCAGUGUGUUGAAUAUGUAACUGUGUCUACACAUGAGGGGGUUGACCUCAGCGUGCCGAAAGGCCAAAAUGGAGAGAAAAUGAGGUUGCCCAGGUGUCUUUCCUGGUGGGCCCAGACUUUGGGGUUUCAGGACGGGUGAG
Molecule: long non-coding RNA, 200 nt
Organism: Cebus imitator (Panamanian white-faced capuchin)
Lineage: Eukaryota; Metazoa; Chordata; Mammalia; Primates; Cebidae
Exons: 3
Source: RefSeq, a predicted model, not a curated record